AGGAAUGUGGCCUAACUUAUUCCA
Molecule: non-coding RNA, 24 nt
Filed under: Arabidopsis thaliana (thale cress)
Lineage: Eukaryota; Viridiplantae; Streptophyta; Magnoliopsida; Brassicales; Brassicaceae
Source: RNAcentral